CCAGACUCCUACGGGAGGCAGCAGUGAGGAAUAUUGGUCAAUGGGCGCGAGCCUGAACCAGCCAAGUCGCGUGAGGGAAGACGGUCCUAUGGAUUGUAAACCUCUUUUGUCGGGGAGCAAAAGACGCCACGCGUGGCGUUCCGAGAGUACCCGAAGAAAAAGCAUCGGCUAACUCCGUGCCAGCAGCCGCGGUAAUACGGAGGAUGCGAGCGUUAUCCGGAUUUAUUGGGUUUAAAGGGUGCGCAGGCGGAAGAUCAAGUCAGCGGUAAAAUUGAGGGGCUCAACCUCUUCGAGCCGUUGAAACUGGUUUUCUUGAGUGAGUGAGAAGUAUGCGGAAUGCGUGGUGUAGCGGUGAAAUGCAUAGAGAUCAUACAGAACACCGAUUGCGAAGGCAGCUUACCAAUCUAUAUCUGACGUUGAGGCACGAAAGCGUGGGGAGCAAACAGGAUUAGAUACCCUAGUA
This 463-nucleotide ribosomal RNA is filed under the name uncultured bacterium. RNAcentral describes it as "bacterial SSU rRNA". It matches the Rfam family "Bacterial small subunit ribosomal RNA", at positions 331 to 792 of the family's 1533-position model. The record is from RNAcentral.